CGAUGCGCUCGUCGGCGGCGGCGACGGCGCACUGCAGGAGCGCGGCGAGGGAUUCGGCGAGCGAGUCCAGCAGUUCGUCGGCGCUCGUGUCGA
Molecule: transfer RNA, 93 nt
Filed under: Streptomyces nojiriensis
Lineage: Bacteria; Bacillati; Actinomycetota; Actinomycetes; Kitasatosporales; Streptomycetaceae
Description: tRNA-Cys
Source: RNAcentral